Molecule: ribosomal RNA, 460 nt
Filed under: uncultured bacterium
Lineage: Bacteria
Description: partial 16S ribosomal RNA
Rfam family: Bacterial small subunit ribosomal RNA
Source: RNAcentral
CCUACGGGUGGCAGCAGUGAGGAAUAUUGGUCAAUGGGCGCAAGCCUGAACCAGCCAAGUAGCGUGCAGGAUGACGGCCCUCCGGGUUGUAAACUGCUUUUAUAUGGGAAUAAAGUGUGGAACGUGUUCCUUUUUGUAUGUACCAUAUCAAUAAGAAUCGGCUCACUUCGCGCCAGCAGCCGCGGUAAUACGGAGCGUGCGAGCGUAUUCCGGAUUUUUUGGGUUUAAAGGGUGCGUAGGUGGUUUAUUAAGUCAGCGGUGAAAGUAUGUGGCUCAACCCGGAAAUUGCCGUUGAAACUGGUAGACUUGAGUAUAGUAGAGGAAGGCGGAAUGCGUGGUGUAGCGGUGAAAUGCGUAGAUAUCACGAAGAACUCCGAUUGCGAAGGCAGCUUACUGGACUAUAACUGACGCUGAGGCGCGAAAGCGUGGGGAUCAAACAGGAUUAGAUACCCCGGUAGUC